RNAcentral lists this ribosomal RNA (526 nucleotides) under uncultured bacterium. Its description in RNAcentral is "bacterial SSU rRNA". It matches the Rfam family "Bacterial small subunit ribosomal RNA", at positions 960 to 1482 of the family's 1533-position model. The record is from RNAcentral.
CCGGAAAAACCUUACCACUCCUUGACAUGGAAAUUAUACCUAUUCGAAGGGAUAGGGUCGGUUCGGCCGGGUUUCACACAGGUGUUGCAUGGCUGUCGUCAGCUCGUGUCGUGAGAUGUUGGGUUAAGUCCCGCAACGAGCGCAACCCUCAUCCUUAGUUACCAUCAGGUAAUGCUGGGGACUUUAAGGAGACUGCCAGUGAUAAACUGGAGGAAGGUGGGGAUGAUGUCAAGUCAUCAUGGCCCUUAUGGAGUGGGCUACACACGUGCUACAAUGGUGGCUACAAUGGGCUGCAAAGUCGCGAGGCUAAGCCAAUCCCUUAAAAGCCAUCUCAGUUCGGAUUGUACUCUGCAACUCGAGUGCAUGAAGUUGGAAUCGCUAGUAAUCGUGGAUCAGCACGCCACGGUGAAUACGUUCUCGGGUCUUGUACACACUGCCCGUCACGCCAUGGGAAUUGGUUUCACUCGAAGCUAACGACCUAACCGCAAGGAGGGAGUUAUUUAAAGUGGGAUCGGUGACUGGGGUG